GCAACUGUUAGAUGAGGACACAAAAAAUAUCUAUUUAAACCCACAUAAGACUACAGCAUAAUAGGUGAUCUGAACUGCAGAUGCCUCGCACACAAAUCCAUCCAUCCGAGUCUGAAUGUGGAUGCCAGGGAAGAAAAGUUCAGCCCAAAGCACAGAUUUUCCUGGUUUUCCCUGGACAUCCAGCCCUUGGCUAUAGGCCCACUACGACGAUCAGAUUCCCUGAAGUGUCACCUCUUGACAGGGCAUCCAACGCUACCCUCCCUCCACUGUCGUCAACCCGGUUUCAGCCAGC
This is a long non-coding RNA of Sardina pilchardus (European sardine), 292 nucleotides long. RefSeq lists it as uncharacterized. NCBI's taxonomy places the organism in Eukaryota, Metazoa, Chordata, Actinopteri, Clupeiformes, Clupeidae. The record is from RefSeq and is a predicted model, not a curated record. The transcript has 3 exons.